GGGCAUGUGAUUUAGUGGUAUAAUAUUCGCUUAGCAUGCGAAAGGUCCAGCGUUCAAUUCCCCGCUCGUCUA
RNAcentral lists this transfer RNA (72 nucleotides) under Sphaerobolus stellatus SS14. RNAcentral's name for it is "tRNA-Ala (AGC) (tRNA-Ala-AGC-16-1)". It matches the Rfam family "tRNA". Rfam says of the family: Transfer RNA (tRNA) molecules are approximately 80 nucleotides in length. The record is from RNAcentral. Lineage: Eukaryota; Fungi; Basidiomycota; Agaricomycetes; Geastrales; Sphaerobolaceae.